AUUGAACGCUGGCGGCAGGCCUAACACACGCAAGUCGAGCGGAUGAAGGGAGCUUGCUCCUGGAUUCAGCGGCGGACGGGUGAGUAAUGCCUAGGAAUCUGCCUGGUAGUGGGGGAUAACGUCCGGAAACGGGCGCUAGUACCGCAUACGUCCUGAGGGAGAAAGUGGGGGAUCUUCGGACCUCACGCUAUCAGAUGAGCCUAGGUCGGAUUAGCUAGUUGGUGGGGUAAAGGCCUACCAAGGCGACGAUCCGUAACUGGUCUGAGAGGAUGAUCAGUCACACUGGAACUGAGACACGGUCCAGACUCCUACGGGAGGCAGCAGUGGGGAAUAUUGGACAAUGGGCGAAAGCCUGAUCCAGCCAUGCCGCGUGUGUGAAGAAGGUCUUCGGAUUGUAAAGCACUUUAAGUUGGGAGGAAGGGCAGUAAGUUAAUACCUUGCUGUUUUGACGUUACCAACAGAAUAAGCACCGGCUAACUUCGUG
This 484-nucleotide ribosomal RNA is filed under the name uncultured bacterium. RNAcentral describes it as "partial 16S ribosomal RNA". It matches the Rfam family "Bacterial small subunit ribosomal RNA", at positions 30 to 507 of the family's 1533-position model. The record is from RNAcentral.